GAGGGGAUUAGUGGCGAACGGGUGAGUAACACGUGGGCAAUCUGCCCUGCACUCUGGGACAAGCCCUGGAAACGGGGUCUAAUACCGGAUACGACCACUGAGGGCAUCCUCGGUGGUGGAAAGCUCCGGCGGUGCAGGAUGAGCCCGCGGCCUAUCAGCUUGUUGGUGGGGUGAUGGCCUACCAAGGCGACGACGGGUAGCCGGCCUGAGAGGGCGACCGGCCACACUGGGACUGAGACACGGCCCAGACUCCUACGGGAGGCAGCAGUGGGGAAUAUUGCACAAUGGGCGAAAGCCUGAUGCAGCGACGCCGCGUGAGGGAUGACGGCCUUCGGGUUGUAAACCUCUUUCAGCAGGGAAGAAGCGAGAGUGACGGUACCUGCAGAAGAAGCGCCGGCUAACUACGUGCCAGCAGCCGCGGUAAUACGUAGGGCGCGAGCGUUGUCCGGAAUUAUUGGGCGUAAAGAGCUCGUAGGCGGCUUGUCACGUCGGUUGUGAAAGCCCGGGGCUUAACCCCGGGUCUGCAGUCGAUACGGGCAGGCUAGAGUUCGGUAGGGGAGAUCGGAAUUCCUGGUGUAGCGGUGAAAUGCGCAGAUAUCAGGAGGAACACCGGUGGCGAAGGCGGAUCUCUGGGCCGAUACUGACGCUGAGGAGCGAAAGCGUGGGGAGCGAACAGGAUUAGAUACCCUGGUAGUCCACG
Molecule: ribosomal RNA, 700 nt
Filed under: Streptomyces sp. KLBMP S0052
Lineage: Bacteria; Bacillati; Actinomycetota; Actinomycetes; Kitasatosporales; Streptomycetaceae
Description: bacterial SSU rRNA
Rfam family: Bacterial small subunit ribosomal RNA
Source: RNAcentral